RNAcentral lists this ribosomal RNA (253 nucleotides) under uncultured bacterium. RNAcentral describes it as "partial 16S ribosomal RNA". It matches the Rfam family "Bacterial small subunit ribosomal RNA", at positions 524 to 776 of the family's 1533-position model. The record is from RNAcentral.
UACGUAGGGAGCAGGCGUUACUCGGAAUUACUGGGCGUAAAGCGUGCGCAGGCGGCUCCUUAAGUCAGCUGGGAAAUCCCCGGGCUUAACCUGGGAACUGCGUUUGAAACUGAGGGGCUAGAGUGUGGAAGAGGGGGGUGGAAUUCCAGGUGUAGCAGUGAAAUGCGUAGAGAUCUGGAGGAACACCGAUGGCGAAGGCAGCCCCCUGGGCUAACACUGACGCUCAUGCACGAAAGCGUGGGGAGCAAACAGG